This 298-nucleotide long non-coding RNA is filed under the name Monodelphis domestica (gray short-tailed opossum). Its description in RNAcentral is "lncRNA (ENSMODG00000038946.1)". The record is from RNAcentral. Lineage: Eukaryota; Metazoa; Chordata; Mammalia; Didelphimorphia; Didelphidae.
AGAUUGAUUAUGAAGAGGCGAGAGGGAAUGAGAAGUCUAGGAUGUAUUCCUAUGCCAUGAGCCUGAGGAAUCUGGAGGACUGUGUUACCCUCUACAGUGUUCAAAAAGAUCCUGGAAGCAGUCCUGAGGCAUACUUUCAAAGAGAGGAAGAGAAUUAGCAAUACUAAUGCUUUUGGCCAUAGGACAGCAGGGAACACUAGUAAUAGUUCAAAGACUUCAAAGAGUACUUAUGGUUACUCCUGAACCAGAACGCAGACCUGGCAAGUAUUAAAUAUAUCUCUACUUAUGUCAUAUCACC